This 553-nucleotide ribosomal RNA is filed under the name uncultured bacterium. RNAcentral's name for it is "partial 16S ribosomal RNA". It matches the Rfam family "Bacterial small subunit ribosomal RNA", at positions 355 to 898 of the family's 1533-position model. The record is from RNAcentral.
UAGGGAAUCUUCCACAAUGGACGCAAGUCUGAUGGAGCAACGCCGCGUGAGUGAAGAAGGUUUUCGGACCGUAAAGCUCUGUUGUUGGUGAAGAAGGAUAGAGGUAGUAACUGGCCUUUAUUUGACGGUAAUCAACCAGAAAGUCACGGCUAACUACGUGCCAGCAGCCGCGGUAAUACGUAGGUGGCAAGCGUUGUCCGGAUUUAUUGGGCGUAAAGCGGGCGCAGGCGGAAGAAUAAGUCUGAUGUGAAAGCCCUCGGCUUAACCGAGGAAUUGCAUCGGAAACUGUUUUUCUUGAGUGCAGAAGAGGAGAGUAGAACUCCAUGUGUAGCGGUGGAAUGCGUAGAUAUAUGGAAGAAUACCAGUGGCGAAGGCGGCUCUCUGGUCUGUAACUGACGCUGAGGCUCGAAAGCGUGGGGAGCGAACAGGAUUAGAUACCCUGGUAGUCCACGCCGUAAACGAUGAGUGCUAGGUGUUGGAUCCUUUCCGGGAUUCAGUGCCGCAGCUAACGCAUUAAGCACUCCGCCUGGGGGAGUACGACCGCAAGGUUGAA